GAUAAACGCUGGCGGCGCACAUAAGACAUGCAAGUCGAACGGACUUAACUCAUUCUUUACGAUUGAGAGCGGUUAGUGGCGGACUGGUGAGUAACACGUAAGCAAUCUGCCUAUCAGAGGGGAAUAACAGUGAGAAAUCAUUGCUAAUACCGCAUAUGCUAACAGUAUCGCAUGAUACAGUUAGGAAAGGAGCAAUCCGCUGAUAGAUGAGCUUGCGCCUGAUUAGAUAGUUGGUGGGGUAAUGGCCUACCAAGUCGACGAUCAGUAGCCGGACUGAGAGGUUGAUCGGCCACAUUGGGGCUGAGACACGGCCCAAACUCCUACGGGAGGCAGCAGUGGGGAAUAUUGGGCAAUGGGGGGAACCCUGACCCAGCAACGCCGCGUGGAGGAAGAAGGUUUUCGGAUCGUAAACUCCUGUCCUCAGGGAAGAGCAGAAGACGGUACCUGAGGAGGAAGCCCCGGCUAACUACGUGCCAGCAGCCG
This 483-nucleotide ribosomal RNA is filed under the name uncultured bacterium. RNAcentral's name for it is "bacterial SSU rRNA". It matches the Rfam family "Bacterial small subunit ribosomal RNA", at positions 28 to 517 of the family's 1533-position model. The record is from RNAcentral.